GAUGAACGCUAGCGAUAGGCUUAACACAUGCAAGUCGAGGGGCAGCAUGGUCUUAGCUUGCUAAGACUGAUGGCGACCGGCGCACGGGUGCGUAACGCGUAUGCAACUUGCCUCACAGAGGGGGAUAACCCGUCGAAAGACGGACUAAUACCGCGUACACUCCAUCUUGGGCAUCCAAGGUAGAGGAAAUGAAAUUCGCUGUGGGAUAGGCAUGCGUCCCAUUAGCUAGUUGGUGAGGUAACGGCUCACCAAGGCGACGAUGGGUAGGGGAACUGAGAGGUUGAACCCCCACACUGGUACUGAGACACGGACCAGACUCCUACGGGAGGCAGCAGUGAGGAAUAUUGGUCAAUGGGCGAGAGCCUGAACCAGCCAAGUCGCGUGAAGGAUGACUGUCUUAUGGAUUGUAAACUUCUUUUAUACGGGAAUAACAAGAGUCACGUGUGACUCCCUGCAUGUACCGUAUGAAUAAGCAUCGGCUAACUCCGUG
This 490-nucleotide ribosomal RNA is filed under the name uncultured bacterium. RNAcentral describes it as "partial 16S ribosomal RNA". It matches the Rfam family "Bacterial small subunit ribosomal RNA", at positions 28 to 507 of the family's 1533-position model. The record is from RNAcentral.